RNAcentral lists this ribosomal RNA (2903 nucleotides) under Escherichia coli. Its description in RNAcentral is "23S ribosomal RNA". It matches the Rfam family "Bacterial large subunit ribosomal RNA". Lineage: Bacteria; Pseudomonadati; Pseudomonadota; Gammaproteobacteria; Enterobacterales; Enterobacteriaceae. The record is from RNAcentral.
UUAAGCGACUAAGCGUACACGGUGGAUGCCCUGGCAGUCAGAGGCGAUGAAGGACGUGCUAAUCUGCGAUAAGCGUCGGUAAGGUGAUAUGAACCGUUAUAACCGGCGAUUUCCGAAUGGGGAAACCCAGUGUGAUUCGUCACACUAUCAUUAACUGAAUCCAUAGGUUAAUGAGGCGAACCGGGGGAACUGAAACAUCUAAGUACCCCGAGGAAAAGAAAUCAACCGAGAUUCCCCCAGUAGCGGCGAGCGAACGGGGAGCAGCCCAGAGCCUGAAUCAGUGUGUGUGUUAGUGGAAGCGUCUGGAAAGGCGUGCGAUACAGGGUGACAGCCCCGUACACAAAAAUGCACAUGCUGUGAGCUCGAUGAGUAGGGCGGGACACGUGGUAUCCUGUCUGAAUAUGGGGGGACCAUCCUCCAAGGCUAAAUACUCCUGACUGACCGAUAGUGAACCAGUACCGUGAGGGAAAGGCGAAAAGAACCCCGGCGAGGGGAGUGAAAAAGAACCUGAAACCGUGUACGUACAAGCAGUGGGAGCACAGAGCAAUCUGUGUGACUGCGUACCUUUUGUAUAAUGGGUCAGCGACUUAUAUUCUGUAGCAAGGUUAACCGAAUAGGGGAGCCGAAGGGAAACCGAGUCUUAACUGGGCGUUAAGUUGCAGGGUAUAGACCCGAAACCCGGUGAUCUAGCCAUGGGCAGGUUGAAGGUUGGGUAACACUAACUGGAGGACCGAACCGACUAAUGUUGAAAAAUUAGCGGAUGACUUGUGGCUGGGGGUGAAAGGCCAAUCAAACCGGGAGAUAGCUGGUUCUCCCCGAAAGCUAUUUAGGUAGCGCCUCGUGAAUUCAUCUCCGGGGGUAGAGCACUGUUUCGGCAAGGGGGUCAUCCCGACUUACCAACCCGAUGCAAACUGCGAAUACCGGAGAAUGUUAUCACGGGAGACACACGGCGGGUGCUAACGUCCGUCGUGAAGAGGGAAACAACCCAGACCGCCAGCUAAGGUCCCAAAGUCAUGGUUAAGUGGGAAACGAUGUGGGAAGGCCCAGACAGCCAGGAUGUUGGCUUAGAAGCAGCCAUCAUUUAAAGAAAGCGUAAUAGCUCACUGGUCGAGUCGGCCUGCGCGGAAGAUGUAACGGGGCUAAACCAUGCACCGAAGCUGCGGCAGCGACGCUUAUGCGUUGUUGGGUAGGGGAGCGUUCUGUAAGCCUGCGAAGGUGUGCUGUGAGGCAUGCUGGAGGUAUCAGAAGUGCGAAUGCUGACAUAAGUAACGAUAAAGCGGGUGAAAAGCCCGCUCGCCGGAAGACCAAGGGUUCCUGUCCAACGUUAAUCGGGGCAGGGUGAGUCGACCCCUAAGGCGAGGCCGAAAGGCGUAGUCGAUGGGAAACAGGUUAAUAUUCCUGUACUUGGUGUUACUGCGAAGGGGGGACGGAGAAGGCUAUGUUGGCCGGGCGACGGUUGUCCCGGUUUAAGCGUGUAGGCUGGUUUUCCAGGCAAAUCCGGAAAACUAAGGCUGAGGCGUGAUGACGAGGCACUACGGUGCUGAAGCAACAAAUGCCCUGCUUCCAGGAAAAGCCUCUAAGCAUCAGGUAACAUCAAAUCGUACCCCAAACCGACACAGGUGGUCAGGUAGAGAAUACCAAGGCGCUUGAGAGAACUCGGGUGAAGGAACUAGGCAAAAUGGUGCCGUAACUUCGGGAGAAGGCACGCUGAUAUGUAGGUGAAGUCCCUCGCGGAUGGAGCUGAAAUCAGUCGAAGAUACCAGCUGGCUGCAACUGUUUAUUAAAAACACAGCACUGUGCAAACACGAAAGUGGACGUAUACGGUGUGACGCCUGCCCGGUGCCGGAAGGUUAAUUGAUGGGGUUAGCGCAAGCGAAGCUCUUGAUCGAAGCCCCGGUAAACGGCGGCCGUAACUAUAACGGUCCUAAGGUAGCGAAAUUCCUUGUCGGGUAAGUUCCGACCUGCACGAAUGGCGUAAUGAUGGCCAGGCUGUCUCCACCCGAGACUCAGUGAAAUUGAACUCGCUGUGAAGAUGCAGUGUACCCGCGGCAAGACGGAAAGACCCCGUGAACCUUUACUAUAGCUUGACACUGAACAUUGAGCCUUGAUGUGUAGGAUAGGUGGGAGGCUUGGAAGUGUGGACGCCAGUCUGCAUGGAGCCGACCUUGAAAUACCACCCUUUAAUGUUUGAUGUUCUAACGUUGACCCGUGAUCCGGGUUGCGGACAGUGUCUGGUGGGUAGUUUGACUGGGGCGGUCUCCUCCUAAAGAGUAACGGAGGAGCACGAAGGUUGGCUAAUCCUGGUCGGACAUCAGGAGGUUAGUGCAAUGGCAUAAGCCAGCUUGACUGCGAGCGUGACGGCGCGAGCAGGUGCGAAAGCAGGUCAUAGUGAUCCGGUGGUUCUGAAUGGAAGGGCCAUCGCUCAACGGAUAAAAGGUACUCCGGGGAUAACAGGCUGAUACCGCCCAAGAGUUCAUAUCGACGGCGGUGUUUGGCACCUCGAUGUCGGCUCAUCACAUCCUGGGGCUGAAGUAGGUCCCAAGGGUAUGGCUGUUCGCCAUUUAAAGUGGUACGCGAGCUGGGUUUAGAACGUCGUGAGACAGUUCGGUCCCUAUCUGCCGUGGGCGCUGGAGAACUGAGGGGGGCUGCUCCUAGUACGAGAGGACCGGAGUGGACGCAUCACUGGUGUUCGGGUUGUCAUGCCAAUGGCACUGCCCGGUAGCUAAAUGCGGAAGAGAUAAGUGCUGAAAGCAUCUAAGCACGAAACUUGCCCCGAGAUGAGUUCUCCCUGACUCCUUGAGAGUCCUGAAGGAACGUUGAAGACGACGACGUUGAUAGGCCGGGUGUGUAAGCGCAGCGAUGCGUUGAGCUAACCGGUACUAAUGAACCGUGAGGCUUAACCU